This 253-nucleotide ribosomal RNA is filed under the name uncultured bacterium. RNAcentral describes it as "partial 16S ribosomal RNA". It matches the Rfam family "Bacterial small subunit ribosomal RNA", at positions 524 to 776 of the family's 1533-position model. The record is from RNAcentral.
UACGAAGGGGGCUAGCGUUGCUCGGAAUUACUGGGCGUAAAGCGCACGUAGGCGGCUCUUUAAGUCGGGGGUGAAAUCCUGGAGCUCAACUCCAGAACUGCCUUCGAUACUGCGGUGCUUGAGGACUGGAGAGGAGACUGGAAUUCAUGGUGUAGCAGUGAAAUGCGUAGGGAUCAUGAGGAAGACCAGUGGCGAAGGCGGGUCUCUGGACAGUUCCUGACACUGAGGCACGAAGGCCAGGGGAGCAAACGGG